RNAcentral lists this transfer RNA (83 nucleotides) under Imasa heleensis. RNAcentral describes it as "tRNA-Ser". It matches the Rfam family "tRNA". From Rfam's summary of the family: Transfer RNA (tRNA) molecules are approximately 80 nucleotides in length. Their secondary structure includes four short double-helical elements and three loops (D, anti-codon, and T loops). Lineage: Eukaryota; Malawimonada; Malawimonadea; Malawimonadida; Imasidae. The record is from RNAcentral.
GGAGAAAUGGCUGAGUGGUUAAAGCGUUGAUUUGCUACGUCAAUUAACAUUUGUUAUCGUGGGUUCAAAUCCCACUUUCUCCG